This 443-nucleotide ribosomal RNA is filed under the name uncultured bacterium. RNAcentral describes it as "partial 16S ribosomal RNA". It matches the Rfam family "Bacterial small subunit ribosomal RNA", at positions 338 to 795 of the family's 1533-position model. The record is from RNAcentral.
CCUACGGGAGGCAGCAGUAGGGAAUAUUGCACAAUGGGGGAAACCCUGAAGCAGCAACGCCGCGUGGAGGAUGAAGGUUUUCGGAUUGUAAAGUUCUUUUCUAAGGGAAGAAGGAAGUGUCGGUACCUUCGGCAUCAGCCUCGGCUAACUACGUGCCAGCCACCGCGGUAAUCCGUAGGAGGAGCGCGUUUGCCGGAAGGACUGGGCGCAAGGGGUGCGUAGGUGGUUUGGCAAGUUAGUAGCGUAACUCCAAGGCUCAACCUGGGAACUACUACUAAAACUGGUGGACUUGAGUGCAGGAGAGGGAACCAGAAUUCCUAGUGUAGCGGUGGAAUGCGUAGAUAUUAGGAGGAAUACCAGUGGCGAAGGCGGGUUGCUAGACUGUAACUGACACUGAGGUACGAAAGCGUGGGGAGCAAACAGGAUUAGAUACCCUGGUAGUC